This 451-nucleotide ribosomal RNA is filed under the name uncultured bacterium. RNAcentral describes it as "SSU rRNA". It matches the Rfam family "Bacterial small subunit ribosomal RNA", at positions 26 to 518 of the family's 1533-position model. The record is from RNAcentral.
AGAGCGAACGCUGGCGGCAGGCCUAACACAUGCAAGUCGAGCGCCCGUAGCAAUACUGGAGCGGCAGACGGGAUAGUAACACGUGGGAACGCGCCCUUCGGUUCGGAACAACUCAGGGAAACUUGAGCUAAUACCGGAUGUGCCCUUCGGGGGAAAGAUUUAUCGCCAUUGGAGCGGCCCGCGUCUGAUUAGCUAGUUGGUGAGGUAAAGGCUCACCAAGGCUACGAUCAGUAGCUGGUCUGAGAGGAUGAUCAGCCACACUGGGACUGAGACACGGCCCAGACUCCUACGGGAGGCAGCAGUAGGGAAUCUUGCGCAAUGGGCGAAAGCCUGACGCAGCAACGCCGCGUGUGGGACGAAGGCCUUCUGGGUUGUAAACCACUUUCAGCAGGGACGAUUGUGACGGUACCUGCAGAAGAACGCCCCGGCCAACUACGUCGCCAGCAGCCGC